GCGUGCCCGUGUGUUUGCCUUGUAG
RNAcentral lists this non-coding RNA (25 nucleotides) under Cricetulus griseus (Chinese hamster). The record is from RNAcentral. Lineage: Eukaryota; Metazoa; Chordata; Mammalia; Rodentia; Cricetidae.